AAUAUAGCAAUGAAAAGAAGAGUAACUAAAUUUUCUUUUAAAGAGAGUCUAUGGCUGGUGUAAAUAGAUAAAAAAGUUUAGCGAAAAUGGUCUUGGAGCUUUUAAAUCGAUAUGUAGAUUUAAACGUGAUCUUACGUUACAAGAAGAGUGCUAAUUAUAAUAAUUGUAAUUAGAACUAAGGUGGUACCGCGAUCAUUCGUCCUUAGA
The sequence is a regulatory RNA element, 207 nucleotides long. It matches the Rfam family "T-box leader". From Rfam's summary of the family: Uncharged tRNA acts as the effector for transcription antitermination of genes in the T-box leader family. T-boxes are found upstream of many aminoacyl-tRNA synthetase genes and some amino acid biosynthetic genes usually in Gram-positive bacteria. The record is from Rfam.